This 1476-nucleotide ribosomal RNA is filed under the name Triticum aestivum (bread wheat). Its description in RNAcentral is "partial small subunit ribosomal RNA". Lineage: Eukaryota; Viridiplantae; Streptophyta; Magnoliopsida; Poales; Poaceae. The record is from RNAcentral.
AUGGGCGCCGGCGAGGGGAAGCAUGGGAAGGGGCUGGUGAGGAGCUGGGCGCAGAGGUACCUCAACCUCGGCUUCGUCGCCGGCUUCCUGCUCGUGCUCCUCGCCUACAUCGUCGUCACCCAGCAGUUCGUCAUCACCUCACCGGAAGCUGUGCCCACGAUGACGCCGCACCGGAAGCAGGCGAUCAGCGCUCCCGGCGCCGGCGAAACAGGGACGCCGGAGGCUCGAGUAGAGGACAAGGCGGAGACGAAACCUGUGGACGCUUCUUCCGGUGAUGAAACUCCAAAUGAGGAGGAGCAGCAGCAACAGCAACAGCAACAGCCGGAUGCGGAGCCGGAAUGGAAGAAGCCGGAAGACACGGUGGCGACGGAGCAAGAGCCCCCCAAAAGAGACGACACCGCUGCCGAACCGCUCGACAACGGCAAAGUGGUGUGCACCACGGAGGGCCCCUUCUCCGACACGUGCGACGUCUUCGGCAACGUCCGGACCAACGGCACGGCGCACACCGUCACCCUCGUCCCGGCGACCCAGACGGAGAGCCGGGAGUGGAAGAUCCAGCCCUACGCCCGCCGCACCAUGUCCGGCAUCUCGGAGGUCACGGUGACGCAGCUCGACUCGACCUCGGCGGAGUACCCGGCGCCGGCGUGCACGGUGACGCACAACAUACCGGGCAUCGUGUUCGCGCUCGGCGGCCUCACGGGCAACUACUUCCACGACUUCAGCGACGCGCUGGUGCCGCUGUUCAUCGCGUCGCGGCGGUACGGUGGUGAGGUCCAGCUCCUGGCCAGCAACAUCCAACCGUGGUGGCUCGGCAAGUACGAGGCCGUGGUGAGACGGCUGUCCAAGUACGACGUCGUGGACCUCGACCAUGACGAUCAGAUCCGGUGCUUCCCGAGCGUCACCGUCGGGCUCCGCAUGCACAAGGAGUUCGACAUCGUGCCGGAGCUGGAGAAGAGGAAGCCGCGGCUGAUGCUGCUCCACCGUGGCCACUACCGGAAGUUCGUGAACGUGCCGGAGAUCGUGAAGGCGGCGGAGAAUGCCGGGUUCGAGGUGGCCAUAGCGGACCCGCGGUUCGACGUGCAGGUGGAGGAGCUGGGCCGGUCGGUGAACUCGUUCGACGUGCUGCUGGGCGUGCACGGCGCCGGGCUGACCAACGCAGUGUUCAUGCCCACAGGGGCGGUGGUGAUCCAGGUGGUGCCGUACGGCAAUCUUGAGCGGAUGGCGAAGGUGGACUUCGGCGACCCCGUGGCGGACAUGGGGCUCCGGUACCUCGAGUACAGCAUCACGGCGGAGGAGAGCACGCUGCUGGAGAUGCUGGGGCCGGACCACCCCGUGAUCAAGGACCCGGAGUCGGUGCACCGGAGCGGCUGGGACAAGGUCGCCGAGUACUACCUCGGCAAGCAGGACGUGCGCGUCGACGUGGAGCGCUUCGCGCCCACGCUCGCGUUGGCCAUCGAACAUCUCCGGCAGAAGUAG